AGCGAACGCUGGCGGCAGGCCUAACACAUGCAAGUCGAACGAACUCUUCGGAGUUAGUGGCGGACGGGUGAGUAACACGUGGGAACGUGCCUUUAGGUUCGGAAUAACUCAGGGAAACUUGUGCUAAUACCGAAUGUGCCCUUCGGGGGAAAGAUUUAUCGCCUUUAGAGCGGCCCGCGUCUGAUUAGCUAGUUGGUGAGGUAAAGGCUCACCAAGGCGACGAUCAGUAGCUGGUCUGAGAGGAUGAUCAGCCACAUUGGGACUGAGACACGGCCCAAACUCCUACGAGAGGGAGCAGUGGGGAAUCUUGCGCAAUGGGCGAAAGCCUGACGCAGCCAUGCCGCGUGAAUGAUGAAGGUCUUAGGAUUGUAAAAUUCUUUCACCGGGGACGAUAAUGACGGUACCCGGAGAAGAAGCCCCGGCUAACUUCGUG
Molecule: ribosomal RNA, 433 nt
Filed under: uncultured bacterium
Lineage: Bacteria
Description: partial 16S ribosomal RNA
Rfam family: Bacterial small subunit ribosomal RNA
Source: RNAcentral